This 477-nucleotide long non-coding RNA is filed under the name Arabidopsis thaliana (thale cress). RNAcentral's name for it is "long non-coding RNA (ATHA_LNC000510)". Lineage: Eukaryota; Viridiplantae; Streptophyta; Magnoliopsida; Brassicales; Brassicaceae. The record is from RNAcentral.
UUUGCAUUAAUUAAAAUUUCUGGUAUAUUUGACUUUACAAUGUGGAAAAAAAAGAGACUAAAAUAAAGAAAAGCAGAAACAGAGGAAGAAGAAAAAGUUUUGCAGAUCCUGUGAUUGUUCUUUACUGUGUGUGUACCUUUGCUCUUCUUUGAAGUGAAAGCUACUUGAGAUUAUCCUUAAAGAAUCAAUAAUCUCAUAAAGUUUUUCACUUUUUUUGUAUAAGUAAUAAUUACAUCAACCAACACAAGAGAGUCACAAGAUUUCUUGCAAGUUCUUUGAUCCUUUGAUGUGUAUCUUUGUGUUCUCUGUUUCGCUGAUUUGGAUCUUGAUUGAAUACUCGUCUUCUCUACCGAUAUUUUGAUCUUCCUCGUUUUUGAUGCAGCUCUGGUAAAAGAGGAAGUUGACUAUGGUGUCAAGAACCAAGAAGAGAGCGUAUAAGUAAGCUAUGAAGGUUCCUUCAAGAGCUAUGGAUAUGAU